Molecule: ribosomal RNA, 440 nt
Filed under: uncultured bacterium
Lineage: Bacteria
Description: partial 16S ribosomal RNA
Rfam family: Bacterial small subunit ribosomal RNA
Source: RNAcentral
CCUACGGGAGGCAGCAGUAGGGAAUAUUGCUCAAUGGGGGAAACCCUGAACCAGCAACGCCGCGUGAAGGAAGAAGGCUUUCGGAUUGUAAACCCCUUUUGUCAGAGAAGAAAAUGACGGUACCUAAGGAAUAAGCACCGGCUAACUCCGUGCCAGCAGCCGCGGUAAUACGGAGGGGGUAAGCGUUAAUCGGCAUUACUGGGGGUAAAGAGCGCGUAGGCGGGAGUGCAAGUCCGAUGGGAAAAGCGAGGGCUUAACCAACGGACUGCAUUGGAAAAUGCAGUUCUAGAGUGUGGGAGAGGUAUGUGGAAUGCGGGGUGUAGGGGUGAAAUGCGUAGAGAUCAGGAGGAACACUCGUUGCGAAGGCGGCCUGCUGGAACGUAACUGACGCUGAGGCGCGAAAGCGUGGGGAGCAAACAGGAUUAGAUACCCGUGUAGUC